CCAAAGAUAGCCGAAGAUAAUAAGAUUUCCAAACACUUCCGAAGAUCACCCGAAGCCUUCCGACAAUUAAUGAUUAUCACCCGAACACUUUCCACCAUUUUUGAAAAUCACUCGAACCCAUCCGAGAAGUUCCAAAGAUUGCCGAAGAUCACCCGAAGAUUUCCAGAAAUUUCCCAACAUGGUGGUUAAUUUCCGAAAUCUCUGAAGAUAUUUUAAACAAGAUAACCACUGUCCGCUGUCUAAAUUAAUUAAUGUAAAGCCAAAGAUUGUAAACAGUCACUUUUUUAAGUGCAUAAUCAACAAGUCAUCAUAUGGUCAUUCUCAUGCAAUCUGGAAUAAAUAAGCAGACUUUGACCAAUUUAUUUACACUAAGUCGCCUUCGAAAUGUGAUUACCUGUGCUUAUAUUUCUGUAGCAAUGAUCGCAGUAAUUUAUCUAAUAGUAUCUUUUGCAUUUUUUUUAUUAUUCCAGUGAACUGUAUAGCAGCAAGAUUGCCACGUUUGAAGAAAACCCUUUCCUGUCGCUCAGAAUAACUAAUGGAAUCCUUGAACUUCAGAACAAUGCCAUUCAAGCUGUUACACGAAAGCUGUUUGGAGAUUCUGGAUCAUCCGUAAAGACACUGGAUCUUUCUAACAACCAAAUACAAUCUUUCCAUGAAGAUGCUUUAAAAGGUGUAUCAAUUGAAACAAUCAAGCUAAUGAACAACAAGCUGGUUACAUUUCCAUCAAGAACUUUACGGAAUCAAAAUCCCAUUGAAAUCGACAUGUCCAAUAAUAAGAUCC
Molecule: long non-coding RNA, 781 nt
Organism: Orbicella faveolata
Lineage: Eukaryota; Metazoa; Cnidaria; Anthozoa; Scleractinia; Merulinidae
Source: RefSeq, a predicted model, not a curated record